AGGAACAGCCGGGACAGAUGGUCCCUCUGCGGGCCCCUCGCCUCCACCCACAUGCCUGUCUGGAAAGUGGCUUUGGCUUAGCUGUACCAGAGCUUCUUCCUGGAGGAAACUCAAAGCCAAUUAGUAUCUGCGGGGACUGUGUCCAGGGGCAGAGGGCCCACCCAGGGUACCUCGUGGAGAAGGGAGAGAAGGGAGACCAGGGCAUCCCUGGUGUGCCAGGCCUCGACAACUGCGCCCAGUGCUUUUUGUCACUGGAGCGCCCAAGAGCCGAGGAGGCCCGGGGUGACAACAGUGAGGGAGAUCCUGGCUGUGUUGGGAGCCCAGGCCUACCUGGUCCUCCGGGAUUGCCAGGCCAGAGAGGAGAAGAGGGUCCGCCUGGCAUGAGGGGCUCCCCGGGUCCUCCAGGCCCUAUCGGCCUUCAAGGAGAGCGAGGUCUCACGGGCCUGACUGGAGACAAGGGGGAGCCGGGUCCUCCAGGGCAACCAGGUUACCCAGGUGCCACGGGCCCCCCAGGACUGCCUGGCAUCAAGGGGGAGCGUGGCUACACCGGGUCAGCGGGAGAGAAAGGAGAGCCGGGCCCCCCAGGAUCUGAAGGCCUCCCAGGCCCCCCAGGCCCAGCG
RNAcentral lists this long non-coding RNA (620 nucleotides) under Homo sapiens (human). RNAcentral's name for it is "non-protein coding lnc-PEF1-3:2". Lineage: Eukaryota; Metazoa; Chordata; Mammalia; Primates; Hominidae. The record is from RNAcentral.